This 254-nucleotide ribosomal RNA is filed under the name uncultured bacterium. RNAcentral's name for it is "partial 16S ribosomal RNA". It matches the Rfam family "Bacterial small subunit ribosomal RNA", at positions 524 to 776 of the family's 1533-position model. The record is from RNAcentral.
UACGUAGGGGGCGAGCGUUGUCCGGAUUCAUUGGGCGUAAAGAGCCCGUAGGCGGCUUGUCAAGUCGGGUGUGAAACCUCCAGGCUCAACCUGGAGACGCCACUCGAGACUGUCAUGGCUAGAGUCCGGUAGGGGAUCACGGAAUUCCUGGUGUAGCGGUGAAAUGCGUAGAUAUCAGGAGGAAUACCGGUGGCGAAGGCGGCCUUCUGGACGAUGACUGACGCUGAGACGCGAAAGCGUGGGGAGCAAACAGG